Molecule: ribosomal RNA, 416 nt
Filed under: uncultured bacterium
Lineage: Bacteria
Description: bacterial SSU rRNA
Rfam family: Bacterial small subunit ribosomal RNA
Source: RNAcentral
GCUUAACGCGAAGAACCUUACCCACCUUUGUACAUCCCGUCGCUACCUAGAGAGAUCUAGGGUCCCGUUCGGGCGCGGAGACAGGUGCUGCAUGGCUGUCGUCAGCUCGUGUCGUGAGAUGUUGGGUUAAGUCCCGCAACGAGCGCAACCCUCGCUUCUAGUUGCCAGCAUUUAGUUGGGCACUCUAGAGGAACUGCCUGCGCCAAGCAGGAGGAAGGCGGGGAUGACGUCAAGUCCUCAUGGCCCUUACAGGUGGGGCUACACACGUGCUACAAUGGCGGUGACAAAGGGAUAAUCCCUAAAAGCCGUCUCAGUUCGGAUUGUCCUCUGCAACUCGAGGGCAUGAAGUUGGAAUCGCUAGUAAUCGCGAAUCAGCAGUGUCGCGGUGAAUACGUUCCCGGGUCUUGUACACACCG